GUUCUUGUUUUGGCAACUUACAAACAAAAUUUGGAAAAUACAAAUAAGACUAGCGUGUCUCCUGCACAAGGUUGAAUUGUGAAUUUAUGAAACAUUCCAUAGUAGG
Small nuclear RNA from Mesocricetus auratus (golden hamster), 106 nucleotides. The record is from Ensembl. Lineage: Eukaryota; Metazoa; Chordata; Mammalia; Rodentia; Cricetidae.